UACAGAGGUCCCAAGCGUUGUUCGGAUUCAUUGGGCGUAAAGGGUGCGUAGGCGGUCGGGUAAGUCUGACGUGAAAUCUUCAAGCUCAACUUGGAAACUGCGUCGGAUACUAUUCGGCUAGAGGAAUGGAGGGGAGACUGGAAUACUUGGUGUAGCAGUGAAAUGCGUAGAUAUCAAGUGGAACACCAGUGGCGAAGGCGAGUCUCUGGACAUUUCCUGACGCUGAGGCACGAAAGCCAGGGGAGCAAACGGG
RNAcentral lists this ribosomal RNA (253 nucleotides) under uncultured bacterium. RNAcentral describes it as "partial 16S ribosomal RNA". It matches the Rfam family "Bacterial small subunit ribosomal RNA", at positions 524 to 776 of the family's 1533-position model. The record is from RNAcentral.